RNAcentral lists this long non-coding RNA (1421 nucleotides) under Salmo salar (Atlantic salmon). Its description in RNAcentral is "lncRNA (ENSSSAG00000091169.1)". Lineage: Eukaryota; Metazoa; Chordata; Actinopteri; Salmoniformes; Salmonidae. The record is from RNAcentral.
CACGUCAACAGCAUUUUAUAUAACUUAUACGCAGGGAGUCAGGAAACAGCUGAUCUCUCACCCCAAUGGGGACGUAGAUGCGCUCUGGAGGGCAGGUGGCAGGAGGGUGUUCCCGAGCCUGGCGGAUAUCCACUUCACCGCCCCAAAACACGGGGCCAACGAUACGGGAGGACCGAUUGAUGGGCUGGAGGACACUCACUGCCGUGGAACCACAGGGUGUGACCAGGAGAUGGUGGGGUUAUGAAGUUGGAGCCAUGGGAGGCCGACUGUGUACGGGUGCAGUGAUGAGGAAGGGAAGGAUUUCCUGGUGCUUGGGUCCCACAGUGAGGGGUGCUGUGACGGAUUCCAAUGGUUGCAUAUCCAGGACAGGAAAAGGAGAGGAGAGCGGGCAUGAAGUUAAGUUCAGGGAGGAGGUAAGGCGGCAAGGGCCUGGUCGAUGAAGUUCCCCACGGCACCGGAGUCCACUAAAGCUGUAGAACCGACACAUGAGGGACAGCUAGCCAGAGAAAGGUUUUGGUGGAGAAUGAUAACAGAAUUCUCAUGACUACCCUGGGAGACAGAAGGUCACAGGGCUGUUCCUCUGCUCUAGUGGACCCCUGGUUGGGAUGCACCGACCACCACUGAAGCUGCUGCCCCACCUGGCUGCAAUAGGGACAAAGCCUCAGCUGUCUCUGGUGAAGCCGCUCUGCCACGGAGAGGUGUGUGGUCCCUACUUCCAUGGGUUCAGGCUCUGCUUCAGGGCAGCCAAAGGAGGGAGGUGAGUGGCAAGUUGGACACCGGCGCUCCUGAAGAAGGUUAUCCAGACGGCUGGCCAUUGCGAUGAGAGCGUCCAAGGAUUUGUCAUCAUCCUGACAUGCCAGUUCUGUCUGGACCGCAUUGCGCAGUCCACUGCGGAAUAGAGUGUGGUGCACCGGCUCAUUUAAUUCGCUCACCUCCCUCGAAGACCGCCCUGAACCUCUCACAGGAAUCCAGCUCAUCCUCUCUCUCAGACGCCCAUCCGGUCAGCAGGGAAAUGACAAUGGCAACCUUGGACCUCUUGGUGGGGGCUCCCGUCUGAUAGGCGAAAUAGAGGGAGCACUGGAGUAGGAAGCGACGGCAUUUUGAUGGAGUGCCGUAAUACUUCUCCAGAAGGGACAGUUGGGCAUCGCUGACCUGGGUGGACGGCUGGGUAGGCUGGGGGACUGGCUCCUUGUGACGACCCAUAGAAGGAGGCCCUCAGUCAGAGGGAUGGAGAACCUUGCUAGUGGUGUCGAGGCGUUGGAGAACCUCCUUCAUGGUCAUACCCAGUAGAGACAGCUGGUCAUGGUGUUGGUGGAGUAGAUGACCAUGUUCCUCGACAGUCUGGAAGAUGGUGUAAUCUUCUGCUGCCAUAAUUUCUGAGGCAGUAAUCUAUAACAUAUACACAGGAAGUCAAGAAGCAG